Molecule: small nuclear RNA, 164 nt
Organism: Manis pentadactyla (Chinese pangolin)
Lineage: Eukaryota; Metazoa; Chordata; Mammalia; Pholidota; Manidae
Product: U1 spliceosomal RNA
Exons: 1
Source: RefSeq, a predicted model, not a curated record
AUACUUAUCUGGCAGGAGAGAACUCAUGAUCACGAAGGUGGUUUUCUCAAGGGGAGGCUUGUCUGUUGCCCUCUGAUUGUGCUGACCCCUGCUAUUUCCUCAAAUGUGGGGAACUCAACUGCAUGAUUUGUGAUGGGGGGGCACUGUGUUCGUGCUUUCCCCGA